This is a long non-coding RNA of Cuculus canorus (common cuckoo), 1388 nucleotides long. RefSeq lists it as uncharacterized. The record is from RefSeq and is a predicted model, not a curated record. NCBI's taxonomy places the organism in Eukaryota, Metazoa, Chordata, Aves, Cuculiformes, Cuculidae. The transcript is spliced from 3 exons.
UGUUGCUACCUGUACCCUUUGACUUCUUUCAAGUCACAACUUCUUUUGGCUAUUUUGGGGUUUUCCGUAGUGCAGAAGGUAGCGUUUGAAAAAGAUGAUCUCCUGGGCGUGUUUGUGGAAACAGUCUUUAUGGUCACUGCUGUAUACUCCAGCCCUGGUUCUGUGCUGGUUGCAGCAGCCUGGAGUCAAUUCCUGUCUGCUUCGUUUGUUCAUUUAUCUUCUGUCAUCAUAGCUCAGGUUUGAAUCCUGGAAUAUCUGUUUCCCUCCGGCACCCGUUCACCUCUGCAGAUCUUGGCUCAAAGAUUUGAAAUCAUGGGCUGGAGCCUGCCGUUCAUUUUUGGGCAUAGAAUUCCAGUGACAAACUUACGGCUUGUCCCCGGAAACAGGAAGGUUUCCCGUCAGUGUGGGUGUAAACCCCAAAGGUGACGUGUUUUCCUCUGACCCUCCAGGCUGGAUUCUGGAAUCAGAUAGAAGCCUUCUGCUAAAACUGUGCCAGCCCUAGUGGGAAGUGUCCCUGCCCGUGGCAGGGAGUUUGAACUGGGUGUGCUUUAAGGUCCCUUCCAACCCAAACCGUUCCAUGAUUUCAGUGCUUGGCCCUGCACCAGAGGUUUUCUCAAAACGCAGGUGACCUGACAGAGAAGGCAGCACCAGCACAGAACAAAGCGUCCUGCGAGGGCAAGAGGUUUCAGACAAGACAUUCAUAAGCUGCAAGUGUCGCUGUCAGCAGGGCGGUGUGGAAGUGCUGUCUGCGUGUCAGCUUUGGGAAAAGCAUGCCUUUCUUCGGCAUCACAGUCCAAUGUAACAGCGAGAUCAUCCUGUUUUUGAAAUGAUGGCAUUUUAAUCAAGUGGAAAAAGCAGCUUGAGCUGGCAGAGUUCCUCUUCUUUCUCCCCCUUUUUUUCCUCCCCUUUCCAGCACUCGUUCAAGGCAGCUCAACUGCGGCCAGGAAGAUUUUGCAGAGAGCGGUUCCAACAACAUUCUCUCCAGAACCCAGACGCCCUCCGCUCCGCAUUCCUGCCAGCAGUGAAUUUCUAGGAGUGAUUUAUAAAGUCAAAGGCCUGGGGGCUUUGUAAUGGAAAUGCUGACAGACCCGGAAGAUGUCUUUGCCUGACAACACAGUUCAAUUGUGAGCACAGUACUUCAUGAGUCACAGAGGGAACCUGACACAGGACUGCUGCAAUUUAUACCGGCUCCUACACACAGAUUGAUAUGGAAAAUCUGUGGAUGGUCUCAGUCGGAUGUGGCUGCAGCCUCAACGCCACGGCCAAGAUCUGCAGGACAGCUCGUAAAUGGGAAGGCUCUUGUUCAUAACCUAAGCUCUAAGGUAUCACCUCAGUAUGUCGGGUUUGGUCCCUCUUUAACCACUGACCAAGGAGUUUUCUUCCGUGAU